UACGGGGGGGGCAAGCGUUGUUCGGAAUUACUGGGCGUAAAGGGCUCGUAGGCGGCCAACUAAGUCAGACGUGAAAUCCCUCGGCUUAACCGGGGAACUGCGUCUGAUACUGGAAGGCUUGAAUCCGGGAGAGGGAUGUGGAAUUCCAGGUGUAGCGGUGAAAUGCGUAGAUAUCUGGAGGAACACCGGUGGCGAAGGCGGCUCUCUGGUACGUGACUGACGCUGAGACGCGAAAGCGUGGGGAGCGAACAGG
RNAcentral lists this ribosomal RNA (253 nucleotides) under uncultured bacterium. RNAcentral's name for it is "partial 16S ribosomal RNA". It matches the Rfam family "Bacterial small subunit ribosomal RNA", at positions 524 to 776 of the family's 1533-position model. The record is from RNAcentral.